This 374-nucleotide ribosomal RNA is filed under the name uncultured organism. RNAcentral's name for it is "bacterial SSU rRNA". It matches the Rfam family "Bacterial small subunit ribosomal RNA", at positions 526 to 896 of the family's 1533-position model. The record is from RNAcentral.
CGGGGGGAGCAAGCGUUGUUCGGGUUUACUGGGCGUAAAGGGCGCGUAGGCGGCCACCGCAAGUCGACUGUGAAAUCUCCGGGCUUAACCCGGAAAGGUCAGCCGAUACUGCGGGGCUAGAGUGCAGAAGGGGCAACUGGAAUUCUCGGUGUAGCGGUGAAAUGCGUAGAUAUCGAGAGGAACACCUGCGGCGAAGGCGGGUUGCUGGGCUGACACUGACGCUGAGGCGCGAAAGCUAGGGGAGCGAACGGGAUUAGAUACCCCGGUAAUCCUAGCCUUAAACGAUGAAUGCUUGGUGUCUGGGGUUUUAUAGUCCCCGGGUGCCGUCGCUAACGCUUUAAGCAUUCCGCCUGGGGAGUACGGUCGCAAGACUG